Paramuricea clavata is the source of this 1376-nucleotide non-coding RNA. The record is from the annotation of a GenBank genome assembly. NCBI's taxonomy places the organism in Eukaryota, Metazoa, Cnidaria, Anthozoa, Malacalcyonacea, Plexauridae.
AAAGUGUAAAGAAAUUUAUAUAACGACAGCGUAUUUUUUUGUCACAAGGAAAAUGCGAUGAAAUUCCAGAUACUUCAUGAGACUGAAAUUUAUGAGACUCCUUAUAUCUUUAGCUGUUCCCAGUACUAAACGCUUUUCUUUUCCCCUAUUUACUUCUAUUAUUUUUUGCAGACAUCAUAUUCCUGCCAUUUUCGUAGACUCACGGCUUGAAAUUUUGACCGCCAUGUUUAUAUAACACGCGUUAGCACGUUGUUAGGUACUUCUUAUGUACAAAAUUCUCGUUAAGUUCAAAUUAUAGAAUUUUUUCACAAUCUAAGACCGUGUUUUUCACUUGUUUUAUAUUAGGAUAUGGUUAUGGCAAAGGUGUUUACUUUGCAAGGGAUGCGUCGAUGUCCGUUGGUUACGCUCCGGCACACUGGGCAGGAAAGAGAUACAUGUACUACUCAAGAGUAGCAGUUGGGCAGUAUGCUGUAGGUAAUCAAAGCAUGUUAGUGCCACCACAGAAAAGAGGCUAUGGUAAUGAUUCCUAUGAUUCUACUGUCAACAACGCCAGAAAUGCCACAGUUUUUGUUUUGUAUUAUGAUAAUCAAUAUUAUCCAGAAUACUUAAUCACCUUUGUUUAGAUGAAGAUAAAUGAGAAAGUGUUAUACAAUAUAGGUAUCGAGGUCGUUAGACCUCAUUUGUGCUAUAGGUGGAUUGCAAUCUAUCUCUUACUCAUUAAGACAAUGAAACGACGGUCAUAUUAGUGCCAAAUCCAAUGGAAGAUGAUUAUAUUAUUUUGUUGAAAUACCACCAACAUGGUUUCCGUAAUGUACCGUCCAAUCGACAUACUAGAUACCUCAAGAUUACCGUUUAAUUACGGCAGACCGCUAACCUCAAACUUCAACGGUAUUUGAAGUUUACAAGUUUCUACAAGUUUACAACAGCAAAGUAGCUAAUUCAUGCUUCUAUUUUUAGUAUUUUUAUGCACAAAUUGUAUUCAAUCAGCUAACAGUUGACACAAUUCAUAAAGUUUGCACUAGUUUGCCUAUUGCGGCUGGCAGUGUGCCGUAAACGUCAAUCCUAAGGUCUCUAUAUUUAUUCUGAUUUCAAUCUCAGUUUCAGAAACAACUAUAACAAAACGUGGAAAACGGCACUUACAAAUUUAGGUUCGAUAUAAUUUUGAGCAGGUAAUUGGGCAACUCCAUCUCAGGGUUUAUUUUAAGAAAAAUUUAGAACUGCACAUAUUAAGGAUGUUAGGGGCGGACCAUUAGAAAAUGGGGGAGGGGGGGUGGCAAUUUUUUCGGGCAGGAUAUUUUUUUUUGCAACAACGUUGUGCAAGAUUUUUUUUUUCAGCCAUGCUUGUGUUGCACGAUUUUUUUUUAAAGGAAUGUGAA